Molecule: non-coding RNA, 3874 nt
Organism: Equus caballus (horse)
Lineage: Eukaryota; Metazoa; Chordata; Mammalia; Perissodactyla; Equidae
Source: RefSeq, a predicted model, not a curated record
CUGAAGGACUGAGUCAUUCAGGGCCUGGGGUGUCACCAUCUCUCAGAAGAGGAGUUCUCUCAGCCCUGGUCCUCUCCAAUCUCCUCACAGAGAGUUCCAGAGUUCCAGAGUGAAAUAUGACUUGCUGUAAAACUCUGUAUUGUGUUCUGCAAGUCAUACUGGAAGAAACAAAGGAUUCUUGUUAAUUCUGCAUUCUUGCCCAUCCCGUUUGUGAAGGUCAAGCUAAUUUACUCCCAUGUGAGUGAGUCCAGUGUGCUUGUCGUGAAUGACAGCUGGGCCCUGAUGGAUGUCAAGUGGUUGCAAGAGCUCCAAGGCAGGAACCUUCUUCUAGGCAAAAGCAACCUAAGACGUUGUCCACAGAUGCCUACAGGAGAAAAUCCAAAUUCCUUAACAUGGGUACAUACCUCCUUCACAAGUUUGCACUGUAUCCUGCUUCAGCAUCAUUUUUUUUGCCAAACCCGACUUGCACUCCCAUUCUCCAGCCACACCAAGCUAUUUGCCAAAUGGGCCCAGUGUUUAUAAACCUCAGCCUGGAAUGUCCUUCCAUGCCCUGGUUAACGCUUACUCAUGUUACACGACCCAACUGAAGCUCUUCUUGGCCCUCCACACCUUUUUGUGGAGUGCUGUGUCUCCUGCUUUGUGGCCCUCUGUACCUGUAAAUACUUCCAUAGUUGUACCAAUAACGUCUCUUUUUCUCUGGCUGUUUACAUAUCUGACAGUCCUUCUGUCUAUAAGUUCUUUUGAGGCAAGGCCGGUUUUUUUCCAGCUUUGUAUGUCCACUGCAGAUGCUCAAUUAAUGUUUUCUUAAAAUUAAUAAAUUAAAAAGUUGAAUGACUGGUUAAUUAGUUGUUCCCAAUUCUCAACUUUCUCAUAUUAAUGGAAGCUUUUUAGGGCUUUAUUUUUGUUUGUUUGUAAGUGUGUGAGUCUGUCGGCCUGUCUUAGACGGGUGCUGCUCAAACUGUAAUGUGCCUGGGAAUCUUGUGAGCACGCAGAUUAGGGCAAGUCUGAGUGGAGCCUGAGAUUCUGCAUUCCUAACAGGCUCCCAGGUGAUGCUGAUACUGCCGGUCCAAGGAGCAUAUUUUGCACAGCAAAGUCAGCAGGCAACAGGGUCUCUAGAGGGCAGAGGUUGCUGUCUGUAAGUAGAGGAAGCCCUAAAAAACAAGUGAAGACUUAGUGAAGAUGACAAUUAGAUGACAAGGAACAUACUUUGUAUCCAUCAUUUCCAUCCAGGAGCUUUGGUCUCCUAUGGAAUUCAUCUUCGGUGAUGGGCUGAGCUUUUCUGGAGCUCUUAUUUCUCAUUUUCUCCAGCUGGAGUCCAGCUUAGGCCACAAACAUUGCUCCCUCCGUACCUUUGUGAUAGUUGCCAGGAGCUCAGCUGAGCUGGGAGAGAGAACACUGAUCUGACAGGUGUGGGAGUAGCUGAUGAAAGCAACAAGCCUAAAAUGAAAAAGUUAAGCCAUUAAUCACUUACUGUGAUGGUAUAAGCAAGAGUCUAAUACUGGAAAAGGUGCCACCUCCCCCUGUUCCAAUUCCCCCUUGGAACUGCACGCCAGUCCAUGUUCAGGUGGAUCAGCGUAGAUGUGCGGGUUGUCUAGCUGUUGGAGCUGCUGAAUAAGAGACUUCGGUUUUGUGGACCCUGAGGUGGAGGGAGCGUGAGGGGGAAGGGCUAGGAGUGGAAAAGUACUGGGUACUGAGUCAGAGUAGGGAAAGUGUCUUCACAGUUUCCUCCCUACCCCCUCCCCAUCAAGGGGCCCAGCAGAGACAGGGACAGGCGCCUGAAGAGGACCUCCGCCCAAGGCCUCAGAAGGAGAGACCUGGGAACGAAGGUGCCUCUGGGCAAGGAGUGUAAAUAUGCGAAGAGCAUGGCCAGCGAGGGGGCUGAGUCCUUGACUGCACUCCCUCCAGAAACCGCCAUGCACGGGCUGCCUACGAGCUUGCUGUGGGGAGGGCAGCCUCUCCAGGCUGCCGGGCAAAGCCUCAGUAAUUGCCUGUGGUCAGGCCUGAAAAAUCACACAGUCACACAUGGGUUUUUAACCAGGAGCUGGACUCCUCAGUAGUUUUUCUCACCCAAGUGUUCGCUUGAAAUUCAUUCAUAUUCAUUCCCUCCCUGUCUCUCUCCGGCCCUCUCCCCCUCUACCCUGCCUUCCUCCCACACCCUCGCCCCCUGCAAUCCUACGCAUCCUUCUCAGCUAUAUUAGUUGCUUAUUGUUGCAUAACCAAGCACUCCAAAACUCAAAACAACAAACGUUUAUUAUCUCACAGUUUCUGUGAGUCAGGAAUCAAGAUGCAGCUUAGGUAGAUGCCUCUGGUUCAAAGUCUCUCGUAAGGUUGAAAACCGUCAGCCAAGGUUGCAGUCUCAUGUUGACUAGGGGGGACCACUCCCAAAUUCACUUGUGUGGUCAUUGGCAGUGUUCAGUUCCUUGCAGGCUGUUGGCAGGAGGCCUACCUCCGUUCCUCGCCACGUGAACCUUUCCUUAGGGCAUCUUAUAACAUGGCAACUGGCUUCCCUCAGGGUGAGUGAGCUAGCGAGAGUAAACACCCAAGAUGGACAGUACGGUUUUUUGUAACCUAAUGUCGGAAGUGACAUCCCAUUACUUCUGCAGGAUUCUGUCUGUUAGAACCAAGUCAUUAAGUCCAGCCCACAUGGGAGGGCAUGACCAAGGGUUUGAAUACCGGGAGAUGGGACUAUUAGGGGCCUUCUUAGAGCCUGCUGACCACAAAGGCCCAGCCAACAUUGUGCCCCUUCCCUAACUAUUCCUCUAGCAUCCGAUAGAAUCUGUUUUCCUAUAACCAAGAUUUCGAUUUUAUUCUAUUCUGUACACAUGUCUUGUUGCCCCAAGUGUUUGAGGCUUCUCUUCUUGGUGGAACUCGGAUUCCCCACAAGCAAAGACCACCGGCUCUUGUCCCCCACUUCUCUUGUGGUCCCCACUGUACCCAUCCCAGGACUAGAGGUAUAAUAAAUAUUUGUUGAUUAUGAACAACUCUCAACUUCAGCUUACUUAAACUUUUUCAGUCCAGCUUUCUGGGGCCCUGGGAUUUCUGUGGGAGCCUUUAUAUUCAGAGCCUUUUCCUGCUGAGCAAACAGACCUCAUCUGGGUCGAUAAUCCUUGCAGGGAGGGUGAGGCAGGGUUAUUGUUUACACUACAGAGCUGUCUGCUAAUGCCUUUAACGUGGAAUUUAGCUGUUGAGAGAACUGGGAAUGAUUUGGAGCCCUUUAGAACCGAGGAAAGACGAAAAGCAAGAGAACUAGCACUUUAUGUUGAGUAUCUCGUUUAAUCCUCCCAAUAAGCAUCAUGUGCAGCUUAUCAGCCCUGACUUUGCAAACAUGGAGUCUGAGGCCCCACAAUUAGCAAAGAGCAGAGCCAGAACCUGAACCCAGGCCCCAGAGCCUCUUCCUCUCCCCUGCCUUGUGCUUCUAGGAAUGGUUUGCAGUGAUUUACUCUCAGAUCAGGGUCCUUCCUGCUGGGGCUAUUGGCAGUACCCAACCCCACUCUCUGUGGUUUCUGUGGCCCGUUUACGUGUCCUGAGACACCCAGUAAACACCUGAUGAAUGAACUCUUCCUCCUCUGGAGUGGGGAGUGGCCAGGAGGCUUCCACACUCACACCCAAAGGCCAGGCAGAACACUAAACCCACCCAGCUAGUGUACCUGACACACAGAGUGUGGCGAAGACGAGUGAGGCAGGCAGAGGCUGGGUUGGGUGAAGUGUGGCAAGGAAAUCUUGUCAGAAGCUCUGACACCCCAGGAAGAGAAGGUCACUUGAGAUGUAUAUGGAUACAAAUGUAGGACUUGCCACACAGAUUUGUUUACCAUCUUCUGAGAGGCCCCACAGUGGCCUCAGCCCCUCUGAGUGGGACUCUUGGUGGAGGAUAGUG